RNAcentral lists this ribosomal RNA (231 nucleotides) under uncultured bacterium. RNAcentral describes it as "partial 16S ribosomal RNA". It matches the Rfam family "Bacterial small subunit ribosomal RNA", at positions 28 to 258 of the family's 1533-position model. The record is from RNAcentral.
GACGAACGCUGGCGGCGUGCUUAACACAUGCAAGUCGAGCGGUAAGGCCCUUUCGGGGGUACACGAGCGGCGAACGGGUGAGUAACACGUGGGUGACCUGCCCUCAGCUCUGGGAUAAGCCUGGGAAACCGGUGUAAUACCGGAUAGUGACUCCAUCGACGCAUGUUGUGGGGUGGAAAGCCUUGUGCGGCUGAGGAUGGGCCCGCCGGCCUAUCAGCUUGUUGGUGGGGU